CAUAGCGACUAUCGUGGCAUAUCAAUAAGCGGAGGAAAAGAAACUAACAAGGAUUCCCCUUAGUAACGGCGAGUGAAGCGGGAAGAGCUCAAAUUUGAAAUCUUCAAGGUUCUACCUUGACGAAUUGUAGUUUAUAGAAGUGUUUUCUGUUAGUGGAGUGGCAAAAGUUCUUUGGAAUAGGACAUCAUAGAGGGUGAGAAUCCCGUAUUUGGUCAUUCCUCCUAGCGUUGUGAUACACUUUCAACGAGUCGGAUUGUUUGGGAAUGCAGUCCAAAAUGGGUGGUAAAUUUCAUCUAAAGCUAAAUAUUGGCGAGAGACCGAUAGCGAACAAGUACCGUGAGGGAAAGAUGAAAAGAACUUUGAAAAGAGAGUUAAACAGUACGUGAAAUUGUCAAAAGGGAAGCGUUUGACACCAGUGUUGUUUUUCCGAAAAUCAAUUACGAAUGUUUUGUUUUUGAGGAGUUAUGACUUCAUCGGCUUGCUCCUUUCUUUACGAAACUUUCUUAAUGCACUUUUCGGUUAACAAGUCAACAUCAAUUUCUUUUGUUGUAAAAGGGUAUGAGGAAGGUGGCUUUCUUUUCGGAGAAAGUGUUUAUAGCCUUGUGCCUCUACAAUCGGAGAGAUUGAGGUCUGCAGCGUAGAUCCUUCGGGGUUAGAUACGUUUGUGCUAAGUUAUAGCUUUUCAUAGACAACUUGUUGACUAUGUUUAGUCUUGUAGCUUACUCGCUGACGCUAUUUUACCUACGCUUAGGAUGUUGAUAGUCACAGCGUGUAC
Molecule: ribosomal RNA, 775 nt
Filed under: uncultured Neocallimastigales
Lineage: Eukaryota; Fungi; Neocallimastigomycota; Neocallimastigomycetes; Neocallimastigales
Description: partial large subunit ribosomal RNA
Rfam family: Eukaryotic large subunit ribosomal RNA
Source: RNAcentral